This 403-nucleotide ribosomal RNA is filed under the name uncultured bacterium. Its description in RNAcentral is "bacterial SSU rRNA". It matches the Rfam family "Bacterial small subunit ribosomal RNA", at positions 11 to 414 of the family's 1533-position model. The record is from RNAcentral.
GUUUGAUCCUGGCUCAGAUUGAACGCUGGCGGCAUGCCUUACACAUGCAAGUCGAACGGCAGCAUGGGUGCUUGCACCUGAUGGCGAGUGGCGAACGGGUGAGUAAUGCAUCGGAACGUACCCGGAAGUGGGGGAUAACGUAGCGAAAGUUACGCUAAUACCGCAUAUUCUGUGAGCAGGAAAGCGGGGGAUCGCAAGACCUCGCGCUUCCGGAGCGGCCGAUGUCGGAUUAGCUAGUUGGCGGGGUAAAGGCCCACCAAGGCAACGAUCCGUAGCGGGUCUGAGAGGAUGAUCCGCCACACUGGGACUGAGACACGGCCCAGACUCCUACGGGAGGCAGCAGUGGGGAAUUUUGGACAAUGGGGGCAACCCUGAUCCAGCCAUGCCGCGUGAGUGAAGAAGG